GCCCUCCUGUGGUGUUUGUGAUGGCAUGGGGCAAGUUGAGCCAACAAUUUCCAAAAGGGAUUCCAAAUCGUAGCACGGAUUUCAUGCCCUCUUUAGAAGGGACGGAAGAACUGCUAGUGCGGAAACCCACCUGUCCAGACAGGUUCAAUGGAAUCCAUGUCAAACGGCACUUCACGGGAGGGUU
Molecule: non-coding RNA, 184 nt
Filed under: candidate division CSSED10-310 bacterium
Lineage: Bacteria; candidate division CSSED10-310
Description: 6S RNA
Rfam family: 6S / SsrS RNA
About the family: E. coli 6S RNA was the first non coding RNA to be sequenced, but its function was unknown until recently.
Source: RNAcentral